This is a small nucleolar RNA of Lolium perenne, 98 nucleotides long. RefSeq annotates it as small nucleolar RNA R30/Z108. NCBI's taxonomy places the organism in Eukaryota, Viridiplantae, Streptophyta, Magnoliopsida, Poales, Poaceae. The record is from RefSeq and is a predicted model, not a curated record.
GGCUAUUGCGUUGAAGACAAACAAGGCCCCUUUUAUAGAAGUAUUGAGGACAUCGCUGGCAGAAUCGAACCAAAUAACUUAUUGCAACCACUGAGUAA